AAUCCAUAGGUUAAUGAGGCGAACCGGGGGAACUGAAACAUCUAAGUACCCCGAGGAAAAGAAAUCAACCGAGAUUCCCCCAGUAGCGGCGAGCGAACGGGGAGGAGCCCAGAGCCUGAAUCAGCAUGUGUGUUAGUGGAAGCGUCUGGAAAGGCGCGCGAUACAGGGUGACAGCCCCGUACACAAAAGCGCAUGUGCUGUGAGCUCGAUGAGUAGGGCGGGACACGUGGUAUCCUGUCUGAAUAUGGGGGGACCAUCCUCCAAGGCUAAAUACUCCUGACUGACCGAUAGUGAACCAGUACCGUGAGGGAAAGGCGAAAAGAACCCCGGCGAGGGGAGUGAAAAAGAACCUGAAACCGUGUACGUACAAGCAGUGGGAGCCCCACCACCAAAGCAUUUGCUGUACCGCGUUGACGGAGCGAAGCGACGUCAAACCGAUAAAACAGCAGUGUAAAGUGAGCCGCAGGGCGCUUUGCGCGACAGCG
Molecule: ribosomal RNA, 485 nt
Filed under: Salmonella enterica subsp. enterica serovar Enteritidis
Lineage: Bacteria; Pseudomonadati; Pseudomonadota; Gammaproteobacteria; Enterobacterales; Enterobacteriaceae
Description: partial 23S ribosomal RNA
Rfam family: Bacterial large subunit ribosomal RNA (bases 1-366)
Source: RNAcentral